GCCUAAAUAGUUUCAAAUGGUAAAAUGGAUUACUUGUAAUAAUUUGUCGGCGGUUCGAUCCCACCUUUAGGCA
Molecule: transfer RNA, 73 nt
Filed under: Phlebopus portentosus
Lineage: Eukaryota; Fungi; Basidiomycota; Agaricomycetes; Boletales; Boletinellaceae
Description: tRNA-Thr (TGT) (tRNA-Thr-TGT-2-1)
Rfam family: tRNA
About the family: Transfer RNA (tRNA) molecules are approximately 80 nucleotides in length. Their secondary structure includes four short double-helical elements and three loops (D, anti-codon, and T loops). Further hydrogen bonds mediate the characteristic L-shaped molecular structure. tRNAs have two regions of fundamental functional importance: the anti-codon, which is responsible for specific mRNA codon recognition, and the 3' end, to which the tRNAs corresponding amino acid is attached (by aminoacyl-tRNA synthetases). tRNAs cope with the degeneracy of the genetic code in two manners: having more than one tRNA (with a specific anti-codon) for a particular amino acid; and 'wobble' base-pairing, i.e. permitting non-standard base-pairing at the 3rd anti-codon position.
Source: RNAcentral